This is a long non-coding RNA of Ailuropoda melanoleuca (giant panda), 433 nucleotides long. RefSeq lists it as uncharacterized. The record is from RefSeq and is a predicted model, not a curated record. NCBI's taxonomy places the organism in Eukaryota, Metazoa, Chordata, Mammalia, Carnivora, Ursidae. The transcript has 3 exons.
UUUCCCUCUCCCCAAAUCCCCCAGAAACGGUCUGACUCAUCCCAGCGGGUCACCGUGGUGCAAUGCUCCGCUCUUUGGCACCUACGAGCAGCAUCCUGGGUGUUGGGGUUAAGGGUGAACGGCACAGACACAGACCCCGUCUUCAUUGGAAGAUGGAAACUAAGCAGGCAAAAGACCCACCAAGAGCUUCUGGCCUGAGUUCAUCCCAUCCCACCAUCUCUGGACCGUGGAGGAAAGGAGCAUUCCAAUCAGACAUGGCCAUCAUCUUACUCAGCUUAGGGCCACAGACUGCAGCCUCACUUCAUGCUCCUGCAUUGCGACCUGCGGCUUAUUAGCACGCCUGUUUUACAGAUGGGAAAACUGAGGUUCAAAGAAGCCACAGGGCAUAUAAAAGCCGAUCCGGAAUGUAUGCCCACGUACUCGGGCUCCAGAA